CCCUUCCUAUUUUUCGCAACAAACAAAAGCAGUUGCCGGGUUCCUAGGCUGAGUGUGAUCGACAUAAAUAGGAUCCCAGAGACACCGAGUUCCUUUGUGCUUGUUUAUGGGCCUUCUGUACCAUCUGUAUACCAAAAGUCGCAGUUAUAAAGGAUUAGAGCGCCUCCCUCGUUGGAUCUGAAGCUGAAGCGGUUCCCUAGGAAAACCCAAAACCUGCUUUUUGGUAUUUUUCAAGUCCCAUAGAAUCCGAGUUUGGAUUCAGAAAUCUGAGAGCUACCCAUUUCUCAGGAUCGUGCAAGAAUUUAUGGGUCGACUCUGUUUUCUCAGGAUUCUUCUCGUUUCGUCACUUCUGGUUCUGUGUUUCUCUCACGGAUUCGGAAGAAAAGUGAUGGAGACUGUUGAGCACGAAGAUUCCGGAGUUCAAGUGGAGGUGGAGGAAACUGUAGGAGAAUCAAGGGAGAUGGUAGAGGUGAUGGAUUAUAAGGAUCCUGGGCCAAACACUAACCCGAAAGGUGGGUACGUUUUUAGCCCUCCGCAAGGCUAAUAAUUCACGAGGUUAUCAACAGACAACAAAAGAAUAAAAGGAUUGCCAGUGUGUUGUUGCUUUAUAAAGCUAUGUUUGUGUAGAUGAGUCGACGGCGUUGUUGAAGAAGGAGAAAAUUGUUCAUGAAAGAUGUAAGUUGCUCGGGUGUAAUUUAGGAAAUAGGGUGUUGGGCUUGGUUGUUCAUCUUGAUGUUCUUGGAAAUUUGAAUUCUCUUUGUUCACCCUUGUCUUCAAGCUGUGUGUAAUAAAACAAUAUGCCGAUGCUUUUCCUUCCU
Molecule: long non-coding RNA, 818 nt
Organism: Alnus glutinosa
Lineage: Eukaryota; Viridiplantae; Streptophyta; Magnoliopsida; Fagales; Betulaceae
Exons: 3
Source: RefSeq, a predicted model, not a curated record